AGCUUCGGCGGCCAGCUUUUUUCGACACCGGAGUGAGUCAGUGAACCUGAUCCGAAAACUUCCACGUAGGUUGUCACCCAUGUGGUCUCUAGUAGUAUAGUAGUAGAGGGGUCUAAGGAGCCUCUUAGAUAUUUGAAAAGCAGAGACCCCAUGGGUGACAACCUCAAAAGUUUUCGUUUCUGAAAACGUGUUGCGUAUGGUCUCCGGUUCCAAUCAUCCAUCGCGGCUUUAGUGGUU
RNAcentral lists this unclassified non-coding RNA (237 nucleotides) under uncultured bacterium. Its description in RNAcentral is "contains 16S-23S intergenic spacer region". The record is from RNAcentral.